UACGUAGGGUGCAAGCGUUGUUCGGAAUUACUGGGCGUAAAGAGAGCGUAGGUGGAAUCAUAAGUUAGGAGUUUAACCUAUGGGCUUAACCCAUAGUCUGCUUUUAAUACUGUGGUUCUUGAGUAUGGGAGAGGGUGAUGGAAUUCCAGGUGUAGCGGUGGAAUGCGUAGAUAUCUGGAAGAACACCAGUAGCGAAGGCGGUCGCCUGGCCCAAUACUGACACUGAGGCUCGAAAGCUAGGGGAGCAAACAGG
RNAcentral lists this ribosomal RNA (253 nucleotides) under uncultured bacterium. RNAcentral's name for it is "partial 16S ribosomal RNA". It matches the Rfam family "Bacterial small subunit ribosomal RNA", at positions 524 to 776 of the family's 1533-position model. The record is from RNAcentral.